Molecule: long non-coding RNA, 1287 nt
Filed under: Homo sapiens (human)
Lineage: Eukaryota; Metazoa; Chordata; Mammalia; Primates; Hominidae
Description: non-protein coding lnc-PIF1-2:1
Source: RNAcentral
CCCGCGCCCCUUCCCACUUCCCGCGGGGCCGGCGCCGCGCUCGCCCUCGCGUUCCUUCCCGCCGCCCCCUCCCCCGCACCAUGAGCAACCUGAAGCCGGACGGCGAGCACGGCGGCAGCACCGGCACCGGCUCCGGCGCGGGCUCCGGCGGCGCCCUGGAGGAGGAGGUGGGUCUGUGGCCCCGGGACUUGCCGGGUGAAGCGCACGCCAGGCGGGCGCGGGAGAGGGCGAGCGGGGCCCGCCGCUGCCCUCUCGCCCGGGUAGGAGCGGCCCGUGUCCGCGGGCGGGAGCGUGCGGCCUGGACUGCCCCGCCGGACAGGCAUUGUCUCCCCGCCCUCUCGGGCUCGAGGCGGGCCGCGCGCGCCGGCCGCCGUCCGGGCGUCCCGCGGUGGGCGAGAUGCGCCGCGUCCGUUCCAUGCCUGCCGCCCGCGCGCCCCUUGCUCCCCACCCCGUAGCCGCUCGCCGCCCUCCUCCGAGGCGCACCUCCUGCGUGGCCAGGACCCCGCCUCGGCGGCACGGAGCGGAGCGGGAUUAGCACGGCCCGAGGGCGGCACCCUCACUCCACUGCCUUUUCCGCCCUGACCCCCUCCCCGUGACCUUGGAGGCCUGGGCCGGCCGGCUCCUCGGUUCCUGCGAGCUGUUGUCAUGGGGGUGGGCGGGCUUUCUUCACAGCCCCAGAACCUGGGCUUUGGCAGAGGUGAGCCCACAAUUUAAUUAGUUUGGAAGAUGACUAAAGACACUCAGUUCGUCCUUCUCCUCUCUCUGGGUUUGUCCUGGCAACCAAGCCAGGACCCCAAAGCUGGCCUGGGUGGGAUCCUGCCAGGAGGGGCGAAAUCAUCUCGUCCACCGGCCAUGUGCGAAAGGGAGGGAGUGUAAGGCGGCUCCGUGGAACCACCAGCAGCUGGGUGGUUAAUGGAUGGUAGGGAGGAUGUGUGUGCGGGGUGGGGUGCUGGAUAAAAGCCUCAAAGAUAUCAGUGAAUAGGGACGAGGAGCUAGGCUGGCGGGUCUACUUCAGUGGGGACUUCACACUGCCCAAGAGGCUGGUACUGGGCAAACCCUCAGACCCACUGCUGUUGGGUGAGAAGGGUGACCCAUGUGGCCAUUCUAAGUCUUGAAAAAAGCAUUUGAGGUUUGGGGGUGGAAAAGGCAUUCCAAGAGGAGGGAGUCGCAUGUAUACAGACGUGAGCCACCGUGCCCGGCCUGUGCAUAGGUUAUAUACAAAUUUUAUAUAAGAGACUUGAACAUCUGGAGAUGUUGAUAUCCAAGGGGGAACCCUGGAACCAAUCC